GCUUAAUCUUCAUCAAGAGAGACUUAGGUUAGAUCACAGGAAAAAACUUUCCAACUCUAACGGUAGUUAAGCUCUGGAAUAGGUUGCAAGGAGGUUGUGGAAUCUCCAU
Gopherus evgoodei (Goodes thornscrub tortoise) is the source of this 109-nucleotide long non-coding RNA. RefSeq lists it as uncharacterized. Lineage: Eukaryota; Metazoa; Chordata; Testudines; Testudinidae. The record is from RefSeq and is a predicted model, not a curated record. The transcript is spliced from 3 exons.